This 409-nucleotide unclassified non-coding RNA is filed under the name Hevea brasiliensis (rubber tree). The record is from RNAcentral. Lineage: Eukaryota; Viridiplantae; Streptophyta; Magnoliopsida; Malpighiales; Euphorbiaceae.
GCAAACAAAUGUUAGAAAUGUUAGAAGCAUUACAAAACUUCAAGCAGUGUAAGGUUUAUCUGGAUAUAUUAGAUACCUGUUCAAUAAUGCUGUUAUCAAUUAGAGGAACUCUCUGCUUGUUUAGCAUUCCAUUCCAUAACCCUUUUUGUAAAUUAGCUCACUCACAUUCUUAGGAUUCAGAUAUCUUGAAAAACAACAAAAAUUUUGUAAGAACAGUGGAUUAAUUGGCAACAAUUACAAUGCUACACAAACGAAUGCGUGGAUCUCUUGCAGAAUGAUGAAAUGAUUUUCAGGAACUUCAAAAAUCAUGGGAUAAUUCUGAGGGAGACUCAUGAUUUCUCCAUAAUUAGCACAUGACCCAUGGUAAGUUUCAUUCGGAUGAGGUCCAAUUCCUAUUUGCAAACAGAAG